Molecule: ribosomal RNA, 490 nt
Filed under: uncultured bacterium
Lineage: Bacteria
Description: partial 16S ribosomal RNA
Rfam family: Bacterial small subunit ribosomal RNA
Source: RNAcentral
AUUGAACGCUGGCGGCAGGCCUAACACAUGCAAGUCGAACGGUAACAGGAAGAGGGCUGGCUCUUUGGUGAGGAGUGGGGGAGGCGGGUGAGAUGUCUGGCAAACUGUCUGAUGUCGGGGGGGAACAAGUGGAAACGGUUACUAUAAUAGCGCAUAGGCCCAAGGGCAGAGAGGGGGAGAUUUGCGCACCUUGCGCGCGGGAGUGACCAGAUGGGAUUAGCUAUGUGGGGGGGUAACGGCGCACACAGGCGACGAUCUCUAGCUGGUCUGAGAGGAUGACCAGCCACACUGGAACUGAGACACGGUCCAGACUCCUACGGGAGGCAGCAGUGGGGAAUAUUGCACAAUGGGCGCAAGCCUGAUCCAGCCAUGCCGCGUGGGUGAAGAAGGCCUUCGGGUUGUAAAGUCCUUUUGGCGGGGAAGAAAAGCAGAAGGUUAAUACCUUGCCUCAUUGACGGUACCCGCAGAAGAAGCACCGGCUAACUCCGUG